GGCUCAGAACGAACGCUGGCGGCAGGCUUAACACAUGCAAGUCGAGCGCCCCGCAAGGGGAGCGGCAGACGGGUGAGUAACGCGUGGGAACCUACCUGAAGGUACGGAACAACUCCGGGAAACUGGAGCUAAUACCGUAUGUGCCCGAAAGGGGAAAGAUUCAUCGCCUUCAGAUGGGCCCGCGUCAGAUUAGCUAGUUGGUGAGGUAACGGCUCACCAAGGCGACGAUCUGUAGCUGGUCUGAGAGGAUGACCAGCCACACUGGGACUGAGACACGGCCCAGACUCCUACGGGAGGCAGCAGUGGGGAAUAUUGGACAAUGGGCGAAAGCCUGAUCCAGCCAUGCCGCGUGAGUGAUGACGGCCUUAGGGUUGUAAAGCUCUUUCGACGGGGACGAUAAUGACGGUACCCGUAGAAGAAGCCCCGGCUAACUUCGUGCCAGCAGCCGCGGUAAUACGAAGGGGGCUAGCGUUGUUCGGAAUUACUGGGCGUAAAGCGCACGUAGGCGGAUUGUUAAGUCGGGGGUGAAAUCCUGAGGCUCAACCUCAGAACUGCCUUCGAUACUGGCAAUCUCGAGUCCGGAAGAGGUUGGUGGAACAGCUAGUGUAGAGGUGAAAUUCGUAGAUAUUAGCUAGAACACCAGUGGCGAAGGCGGCCAACUGGUCCGGUACUGAC
Molecule: ribosomal RNA, 675 nt
Filed under: Labrys sp. L1992
Lineage: Bacteria; Pseudomonadati; Pseudomonadota; Alphaproteobacteria; Hyphomicrobiales; Xanthobacteraceae
Description: bacterial SSU rRNA
Rfam family: Bacterial small subunit ribosomal RNA
Source: RNAcentral